This is an RNA transcript of Patella vulgata (common limpet), 310 nucleotides long. RefSeq lists it as uncharacterized. The record is from RefSeq and is a predicted model, not a curated record. Lineage: Eukaryota; Metazoa; Mollusca; Gastropoda; Patellidae. The transcript has 3 exons.
UGGUUGUUUAAUUUAACCGCUACCACGUCCAUUCCAAACGACAAUUUGAUAUUUUCGCCGGGAAAUAUUUUAACGAUAGACUUGGUUAACCUUACAGAACCAUGGUCAUCUGGAACUGACAAAUAUACUGUUGGUAUCGUCUUGAUCAAGGAGUUGGAUCGUGAUUUUACUCCUAAUCCUAAAUUAUUACAAUUUGAUGUUAAAGAUAGUGGAGAUACGGUAUCCCGUUCUUGUGAAUUGAUAGUUCUUGAUGUUAAUGAUAAUGCACCAAUAUUUAGAAACCUGCCCUAUACACCUAAAGUUCCUGAGG